Molecule: microRNA precursor, 222 nt
Filed under: Gossypium raimondii (Peruvian cotton)
Lineage: Eukaryota; Viridiplantae; Streptophyta; Magnoliopsida; Malvales; Malvaceae
Description: miR8638 stem-loop (gra-MIR8638)
Source: miRBase by way of RNAcentral
GUGAGAAUGGUGAAUACAGGAAUGGCUCUCUGUGCCAAUCUCGUUAAAGUGAGGGCUCUACCCUACCUCUAUUUACGACUACACGUUGGCCCGUUCAGAUUUAGGUGUUCAGUGGAAAGAUAACCUAUCACCUAAAGUUUUCAUGACCACUUAGAUUAGGGUAGAGCCCUCUCUUUACGAGGUUGGCGCAGAUAGCCAUUCUUGUAUUCACCAUUCUCUACU